UCAAAAAGGGUAUGAGAAGGUACGGCUCCCUUUAAAUCAUUACAAAUAUACUUUUUGUUUGAAGGGAAAAUAGAUUUUUUUGCCACUCAACUUAUAGCGUUUUUAGAAAUCUACCAUCCAACUAUUUUUUUUCUUCUUUUAGUCACUAAUGUUAGGUUUGGUUUUAUUUUUAGCCACCAACUUAGGUUCGGAUUUGAAUACUAGCAUUAUGAUAAUUUUUUGUAGUAUCAUUUUUACAUGGUGAUAGUAUGUAAUAUUUUAUGGGAAAAUAGAUUUUUUUGCCACUCAACUUAUAGCGUUUUUAGAAAUCUACCAUCCAACUAUUUUUUUUCUUCUUUUAGUCACUAAUGUUAGGUUUGGUUUUAUUUUUAGCCACCAACUUAGGUUCGGAUUUGAAUACUAGCAUUAUGAUAAUUUUUUGUAGUAUCAUUUUUACAUGGUGAUAGUAUGUAAUAUUUUAAUGAUGUGUCGUAUGUUUAUAUCUUUAUAUAUAGCAAUAAUAAUAUAAAAUGAGCCGAUGAAAAAUUAAAAUCAGGAAAAAUCGUAAUUAGAUUCUAAAAAUUCAAUAAAUCAUGAAUAUGAAAUCAAUGACUUCAAACAAUUCACCCAAGAUAAAGGUGUAAUUGAGUGAUAUGACGCGUCAUCUUUCGCUAUUAAAGUUUCAAUCGACUAGCUCAGUCCAAGAUCUCUCUUAAAUUUAUCUUCAAAAGUUUUAAUAACUUUAUCUUAUUACAAUUUUCAAGAUAAAUAAAUAGAGAGGAAAACUUAAUUUUCAAUGAUUGUCCUCUCUAUAUAUAAUGCAUCAUUCCCUCUCAUUAGUUUAAAGUUUUUUCUACUACUUAGCACGUAUUUAAGACUCUUAUAAAAUAUAGUUUCAUAACUUAUUUUUGUGAUUUUUUUUGUGUGUAAAAAUUCAAACGCUGAAUUUUCAUUCGAAAGAAAAAAAAUAAAGUUAUAUAUGAAACUACACAUCUUUUAAAGGCCAUAAAAUACGUGUAAAAUUCUUAUCAUCUAAGGUAAACGAUCUUGGAGACAUAAAAAGUACUAUAUAUAAAGAUACAAACAUGUAUCAAAAUAUUACAGACUACCACUGUAUUUUAAUAAUGCUACACAUAAAAUGUCAUGCUAAUAAUUAAAUCCGAAACUAACUUCAGUGACUAAAUAAAAGCUGAAUAUAACACUAGUGAGUAAAAUAAAAAAAUUAUAGUGGAGUAGUUAGUUUCUAAAGACGUUAUAAGUUUCGUGACAAAAAAAAUUAUCAUAAUAUUAGUAAUCAAAUCCGAACCUAAGUUGGUGGCUAAAAAAAAAACCAAACCAAACAUUAGUGACUAAAAAAAAAAAAAACUAGUUAGGUGGUAAGUUUUUAAAAGCACAAUAAGUUGAGUGGCAAAAAAAUCUAUUUUCCCUUAUUUGAAAAACCACUCAACAUUUGCAUUUAUACAUUAGUGAUCAAAGCAACCCUCUCUUAUGACCGUGACUGACUCAAAAAUCGAUGAACCCAACUCCUUCUGAUCCUUUCAUUUCCCUCCUCUCUCUAUCAUCUCUCUCGGAGCCUCCUUUUUUUCUCUCUCCUUGUUAUCAUUCUCGAACUCCGCGACAACGUCGAUGAAGGAGAGAGCACGAGUGAGGCAAGUGUAGGGUCGGCGUGGCACCGGCGAAAAAAUGUGGCGACGAAGUCUAUACAUCAAUCUCUCUUGGUUGCUCAAUUGUUAAUAAUAAUUUGUGUGUUAAUCUUUGUAUAGGUCGUAAUUAUAAAUUUAUAGAGAGGAUGAGAGAGAGAAAUGAAAGAGAUAUAAGGAAGGAAGGGCUAGUCUCAUAUUGCAAAGAGAAUGUGUAUUUAAUU
This 1843-nucleotide long non-coding RNA is filed under the name Daucus carota (carrot). RNAcentral's name for it is "long non-coding RNA (DCAR_LNC006518)". The record is from RNAcentral. Lineage: Eukaryota; Viridiplantae; Streptophyta; Magnoliopsida; Apiales; Apiaceae.